GAUCAUUAAAGAAAUUUAAUAAUUUUGAAAAUGGAUUUUUUUGUUUUGGCAAGAGCAUGAGAGCUUUUACUGGGCAAGAAGACAGGAGAUGGAGAGUCCAGCCGGGCCUGCGCUUAAGUGCGCGGUCUUGCUAGGCUUGUAAGUUUCUUUCUUGCUAUUCCAAACGGUGAGAGAUUUCUGUGCUUUUGUUAUAGGACAAUUAAAACCGUUUCAAUACAACACACUGUGGAGUUUUCAUAUCUUUGCAACUUUUUCUUUGGGCAUUCGAGCAAUCGGGGCCCAGAGGUAACAAACACAAACAAUUUUAUCUAUUCAUUAAAUUUUUGUCAAAAACAAGAAUUUUCGUAACUGGAAAUUUUAAAAUAUUAAAAACUUUCAACAACGGAUCUCUUGGUUCUCGCAUCGAUGAAGAACGCAGCGAAAUGCGAUACGUAAUGUGAAUUGCAGAAUUCCGUGAAUCAUCGAAUCUUUGAACGCACAUUGCGCCCCUUGGUAUUCCAGGGGGCAUGCCUGUUUGAGCGUCAUUUCCUUCUCAAACAUUCUGUUUGGUAGUGAGUGAUACUCUUUGGAGUUAACUUGAAAUUGCUGGCCUUUUCAUUGGAUGUUUUUUUUCCAAAGAGAGGUUUCUCUGCGUGCUUGAGGUAUAAUGCAAGUACGGUCGUUUUAGGUUUUACCAACUGCGGCUAAUCUUUUUUUAUACUGAGCGUAUUGGAACGUUAUCGAUAAGAAGAGAGCGUCUAGGCGAACAAUGUUCUUAAAGUUUGACCUCA
Molecule: unclassified non-coding RNA, 770 nt
Filed under: Saccharomyces cerevisiae (brewer's yeast)
Lineage: Eukaryota; Fungi; Ascomycota; Saccharomycetes; Saccharomycetales; Saccharomycetaceae
Description: sequence contains 18S rRNA gene, ITS1, 5.8S rRNA gene, ITS2, 28S rRNA gene
Rfam family: 5.8S ribosomal RNA (bases 371-524)
Source: RNAcentral